UACGGCAGUAGUGUAUACUGUACCAGGAAGUAUAAUUUUGAUACUUAUUACAAUGCAUGAGGCAUAAACGAUGUCGGCUAACAGAUGAUUUAAUUAUGCCGAUGGUAUAGGUGCAAUGUCUAGCACUAGGCUUUCUUGUUCUUACAUGUAUGGCAAAGAAUUAUGUUAAAAUAUGCAGCGGGCAAAGAAAGGCAGUUUCGAUCUCCUUUUGUCUGGCAGUGAUAUAUAUUCUAUUGAUUAGUGACCGAAAUACCAAAGAGUCCGCCCCAGCUGAUGAUACACUGUACUUUGACGUGGUUGUCUAGAUGAUACUGUAACAUGGAUUAGACAGAUAAUUUGAGAGCCAUUUUGAAGCAUUUCUAAUUAAUGACCAUCUUUGGUAUAAAACACUUUCUGUUAUAGACUUGGGAAAAAUUUACCGAUAGGUUAUUAUUACCCCCUUCUGUGACCACCACUUCUGAAACACCCCUACCCUUUACUGAAUAUUACUGGAACUACCUCUGUAUAUCACAAUGUUUUAAAGGAUGAUGUAACAAUAUAAAAUGCAAGUACAUGUACAUAUUUGCUGCCAACAGCAGGAUCUUGUCAGAGUAGUUGGACUGUAAAUGGCAUGCACAGAUGGCGAGACCAAGAAUCAGUAACAUGGUGCUACAUAAGAUGAAGAUCAUCAAUGACCCAGACUAUAAAUCUCUACAGUAUAAUUGUGUUAGACACAGCCUGUUCAUCCAGGUUGCAGCAAACAGUACAAGACAACACAAAGUCUGAUGAAGACUCCCCUGGCAGAUCGAGAUGUGAUAAGGCGAAAAAAGUCAUCGAAUAAUCUCACAAGCAAUCGGAGUUGAGAUGUUCCAGCUGGAUUCCUUAAUACCGAUGUUAAAGAUCAGUGAACACAGGCAGGGUCUAUCAAACACUCCUGUUCAUCCUCCCUAUUUGGAUGAUGUAACAUCGUGAAUGUUCCUCUCUUUGUAUGGGUAAUUCAAUGCAUGCUGGCAUAAUGUCGGGCCGCUGGAGCAAACUGAAUGCUACGUACGGUUCGUGUUUACUUGCUGUGCAGUAGAACACGCUCUGGUUGUAUCGUGUUCAUGUGGUGGUGGAAGCCUCGUUCCGGUGCCUACUCAAGAACGUAGUUCGGAACCGUCGUCGUUAAGGGUUUGAAUUGCAGUCGCUCUGAGGCAGUGUGUGGUGUAAUUUUGAGAACAACUGAAUUUCUGCAAAUGUCAGAGAUAAAUUUCGAAAACUGGUACGCUUUGACUGGCUUUGCUGUGAACCACACGUUUUCUGACUGGGGACGCCAGAACAGCUUUCGAGAAGAGACUAAAUAGCGAUGUGGCAUUAAGUAUUGUGAAUUUUAAAAAAAUAUUUUGUAUAAUGAAUUGUUUAUUUAUCAUUUGUUUUUUAUAUUUAUAUAUUUUUAUUGAAUAAAUUAAUUUCGAUCGA
Molecule: long non-coding RNA, 1437 nt
Organism: Ostrea edulis (European flat oyster)
Lineage: Eukaryota; Metazoa; Mollusca; Bivalvia; Ostreida; Ostreidae
Exons: 2
Source: RefSeq, a predicted model, not a curated record